This 936-nucleotide ribosomal RNA is filed under the name Algoriphagus litoralis. RNAcentral's name for it is "bacterial SSU rRNA". It matches the Rfam family "Bacterial small subunit ribosomal RNA", at positions 8 to 942 of the family's 1533-position model. Lineage: Bacteria; Pseudomonadati; Bacteroidota; Cytophagia; Cytophagales; Cyclobacteriaceae. RNAcentral also lists the same sequence under 1 other name. The record is from RNAcentral.
AGAGUUUGAUCCUGGCUCAGGAUGAACGCUAGCGGCAGGCCUAAUACAUGCAAGUCGAGCGGCAAGUCGAGGAGUAAUCUAAGACCUAGAGCGGCGCACGGGUGCGUAACGCGUAUGCAACCUACCUCAUACAGGGGGAUAGCCCGGAGAAAUCUGGAUUAAUACCCCAUGGUACUAUGAAGCGGCAUUGUUUUAUAGUUAAAGAUUCAUCGGUAUGAGAUGGGCAUGCGUCUGAUUAGCUAGUUGGCGGUGUAACGGACCACCAAGGCGACGAUCAGUAGGGGUUCUGAGAGGAAGGUCCCCCACACUGGCACUGAGAUACGGGCCAGACUCCUACGGGAGGCAGCAGUAGGGAAUAUUGGGCAAUGGACGAGAGUCUGACCCAGCCAUGCCGCGUGCAGGAAGACGGCGUUCUGCGUUGUAAACUGCUUUUAUCUGGGAAGAAAAGGCCCAUGCGUGGGACAUUGCCGGUACCAGAUGAAUAAGCACCGGCUAACUCCGUGCCAGCAGCCGCGGUAAUACGGAGGGUGCAAGCGUUGUCCGGAUUUAUUGGGUUUAAAGGGUGCGUAGGCGGCUAUUUAAGUCAGCGGUGAAAGACAUCGGCUCAACCGAUGCAGUGCCAUUGAUACUGGAUAGCUUGAGUGUUGGAGGGGUACAUGGAAUUGAUGGUGUAGCGGUGAAAUGCAUAGAUACCAUCAGGAACACCGAUAGCGAAGGCAUUGUACUGGCCAACAACUGACGCUGAGGCACGAAAGCAUGGGGAGCGAACAGGAUUAGAUACCCUGGUAGUCCAUGCCGUAAACGAUGAUUACUCGCUGUUAUGCCUUGAUGGUGUAGCGGCCAAGCGAAAGCGUUAAGUAAUCCACCUGGGGAGUACGCCGGCAACGGUGAAACUCAAAGGAAUUGACGGGGGUCCGCACAAGCGGUGGAGCAUGU